RNAcentral lists this ribosomal RNA (351 nucleotides) under Cacodemonius sp. CGua. RNAcentral's name for it is "partial large subunit ribosomal RNA". It matches the Rfam family "Eukaryotic large subunit ribosomal RNA", at positions 644 to 965 of the family's 3401-position model. The record is from RNAcentral. Lineage: Eukaryota; Metazoa; Arthropoda; Arachnida; Pseudoscorpiones; Withiidae.
UUGACCCGUUCCUUGAAACACGGACCAAGGAGUCUAGUGCGCGUGCGAGUCCCCGGGACUUGAACAGGCCCGUGGGCGCAAUGAAAGUGAAGGGCGUUUCGGACGUCCGAGUAGGGAUCGUCGCCAAUUUCUGGUGACGCGCACCUACGGCCCGUCCGAGCCGAUUUCGGCUGGGCGGAGCAAGAGCACGCGCCCUGGGACCCGAAAGAUGGUGAACUAUGCCUGGGCAGGAUGAAGCCAGGGGAAACUCUGGUGGAGGUCCGUAGCGGUUCUGACGUGCAAAUCGAUCGUCGGACCUGGGUAUAGGGGCGAAAGACCUAUCGAAUCAUCUAGUAGCUGGUUCCCUCCGAA